UAUGUAAGGGAUAUAAGCCGAUAACAGUCCAUUCUGUAAAAUAUUGGACAGGUCUGAGGCCGCAGGCCGAAGACCUGUUUAAUAUUUUACAGAAUGGACUGUUGGAGGCUUAUAUCUUACUUAAAACAUUGUUUAACACGUCGAUAAAAGUUAAAAUAAAAGAAAAGCCAGCAAAGAUUUAUUUGCAUCAGGUAUGAAAAUUGUUUUGUCAAUAAACUUUCUUUACAUUAAAAUAUAUCCUACAUGUAGGCCCC
Molecule: long non-coding RNA, 254 nt
Filed under: Mytilus galloprovincialis (Mediterranean mussel)
Lineage: Eukaryota; Metazoa; Mollusca; Bivalvia; Mytilida; Mytilidae
Source: RNAcentral